RNAcentral lists this ribosomal RNA (417 nucleotides) under Punctelia subrudecta. Its description in RNAcentral is "eukaryotic LSU rRNA". It matches the Rfam family "Eukaryotic large subunit ribosomal RNA", at positions 1 to 413 of the family's 3401-position model. Lineage: Eukaryota; Fungi; Ascomycota; Lecanoromycetes; Lecanorales; Parmeliaceae. The record is from RNAcentral.
AUUGACCUCGGAUCAGGUAGGGAUACCCGCUGAACUUAAGCAUAUCAAUAAGCGGAGGAAAAGAAACCAACAGGGAUUGCCUUAGUAACGGCGAGUGAAGCGGCAACAGCUCAAAUUUGAAAUCUGGCCCCUUCGGGGUCCGAGUUGUAAUUUGUAGAGAGUGUUUCGGGUGAGGACCCGGUCUAAGUCCAUUGGAACAUGGCGUCAUAGAGGGUGAGAAUCCCGUAUGUGACCGUGGAUCGAGCCCAUGUGAAGCCUCUUCGACGAGUCGAGUUGUUUGGGAAUGCAGCUCAAAAUGGGUGGUAAAUUUCAUCUAAAGCUAAAUACUGGCUGGAGACCGAUAGCGCACAAGUAGAGUGAUCGAAAGAUGAAAAGCACUUUGGAAAGAGAGUGAAACAGUACGUGAAAUUGUUGAAA